Molecule: ribosomal RNA, 463 nt
Filed under: uncultured bacterium
Lineage: Bacteria
Description: bacterial SSU rRNA
Rfam family: Bacterial small subunit ribosomal RNA
Source: RNAcentral
GACGAACGCNGGCGGCGUGCCUAAUACAUGCAAGUAGAACGCUGAAGGAGGAGCUUGCUCUUCUGGAUGAGUUGCGAACGGGUGAGUAACGCGUAGGUAACCUGCCUGGUAGCGGGGGAUAACUAUUGGAAACGAUAGCUAAUACCGCAUAACAUUGACUAUUGCAUGAUAGUCAAUUGAAAGGUGCAAAUGCACCACUACCAGAUGGACCUGCGUUGUAUUAGCUAGUUGGUGGGGUAACGGCUCACCAAGGCUACGAUACAUAGCCGACCUGAGAGGGUGAUCGGCCACACUGGGACUGAGACACGGCCCAGACUCCUACGGGAGGCAGCAGUAGGGAAUCUUCGGCAAUGGACGGAAGUCUGACCGAGCAACGCCGCGUGAGUGAAGAAGGUUUUCGGAUCGUAAAGCUCUGUUGUAAGAGAAGAACGAGUGUGAGAGUGGAAAGUUCACACNGNGACGG